Molecule: non-coding RNA, 1464 nt
Organism: Cherax quadricarinatus
Lineage: Eukaryota; Metazoa; Arthropoda; Malacostraca; Decapoda; Parastacidae
Source: RefSeq, a predicted model, not a curated record
CAGUUCGUGGGGUGGAGGAAGCAGCCAGGGCUACCAGGAUGCACUUGGUAGUCUAGACUAUCCACCCGAGGAGACCAGCACUACACGCUACGCUAUUACUACUAGAGGGGUAAGGCCAACACUGUCACAGCUGCCGUGGUCACCGUGGAGGAGUGAUCAACGGAGAUUUCACACUCCUGUUAGCUCCCGCGACGCCUACAACAGGAGAUUGCAUCGACGCCGACAAGUGGGCUGGUGCUUGAUACUAACUGGUUUUCUGUUCCUGAUAGCUUCAGCUGUCACUGUUCUUGUGGUUGAAGAGCAUCCAAGACCAUGUCAUAGUGGUCCAGUAGUUGGUACUGGUAGAAGCGACCUGCUCUGAACCCAUAAUGCCCUGGAUUAUGUAACUGAUUGGUAUCUAAGUGGGUGGCGAUCUUGCUUCUUAGAACCCUUUCCAAGGUUUUUUUUUAUAUGGGACGUUAGUGAUGUAUGCAAUUGCUUUAAUGCCCCUUAUAUGGAGGGAGGCUAUGUCUGUUGUUUCUAGUGUCUGGGGUGACCCCUGUGUCCAUAAUUCCUCUCCAUAGAUUAGUGGAUCCAUGACAAAGUUGACCCCCCUGUGACCAUGCUCCCUCGCCAUAGAUUAGUGGAUCCAUGACUAGGUUGAUCCCUGUGUCCAUGCUCCCUCGCCAUAGAUUAGUGGAUCCAUAUUCAUCAGAUGACAGAAGGGUGGAGGAGCGAAGUUCUCUUCAGCUGUCAUUGAAGACACUACCACACCCCAGGACGAGUAUCGACGGCCUUGUAGCUUGUUCGGUCCCGUAGCUAGAUUGCUAGCGGACCCAGCUCGCACACUGAGGUCCAUGGCCCGAUUUCCAUUACUGGUGGAAAGAUUACGACAUGUAUCCUGGAGAUGACUGCUCUUUCUGUUCACCUAUCAGUAAAAUAGGUACCUGGGCAUUAGUCGACAAGUGUGGAGGGUCUCAUCCUGGGGUCAAAAUUGACCUAACUUCCCAAAAUACUCUGCAUGAAAUGUGAUGACAGCUAAGCCUGUAUACAUUGUACAUGUGCUUGUAGAAAUAAAUAUUUAUAAUUAGAACUGCAGUGCCUAUUCAGGUUAGGUGGGGUCCUUAGCAUAGGCUGUGGUAUCUUAGUGUGAUAAUCAAGGUGUCAUCAGCACGAGGGCAGAUGAGACUCCACGAGCCAUUGUUCCAAGUAUUAGUGCCUGGAUUUGGGCCAGGAGCUGUGCCUCAACCAGGACCACAGAGGGUGAGGAAUUGUUAUAUUACAGCCUGUCUUGUAGAUGAAUGGUUCAGAGAACCGACAUGUUGAUAAAUUACACAUGUGCAACUCUUGGGUAUCUUUAUUGAGGAAACGUUUCGCCACACAGUGGCUUCAUCAGUCCAUACAUAGGAGAAACUUGAAGAACAGGAGGAGAAUGAGGUAAUCAGUCCCUCAACCUUGAGUCGAUGUGUUCAGUCCAUCAAUCUU